This 253-nucleotide ribosomal RNA is filed under the name uncultured bacterium. RNAcentral describes it as "partial 16S ribosomal RNA". It matches the Rfam family "Bacterial small subunit ribosomal RNA", at positions 524 to 776 of the family's 1533-position model. The record is from RNAcentral.
UACAGAGACUGCAAGCGUUAUUCGGAUUCACUGGGCGUAAAGGGUGCGCAGGCGGCCGUGUGUGUGAGGCGUGAAAGCCCGGAGCUCAACUCCGGAAUUGCACCUCAAACUACAUGGCUAGAGCAUUGGAGAGGGAAGCGGAAUUCACGGUGUAGCAGUGAAAUGCGUAGAGAUCGGGUGGAACACCAGAGGCGAAGGCGGCAUCCUGGCAACAUACUGACGUCGAGGCGCGAGAGCGUGGGGAGCAAACGGG